GAUUAACGCUGGCGGCGUGCAUAACACAUGCAAGUCGAACGAUGAAACUCAUUAGAUUUCUUCGGAAUGAAAAUGAAUGGAUUAGUGGCGAACGGGUGAGUAACGCGUGAGUAACCUGCCUUACACAAGGGGAUAGCCUCUGGAAACGGAGAAUAAUACCCUAUGAAACCAGACAAUCGCAUGAUAAUCUGGUCAAAAUGUUUAGUGGUGUAAGAUGGACUUGCGUCUGAUUAGCUAGUUGGUGAGAUAAAAGCUCACCAAGGCAACGAUCAGUAGCCGGCUUGAGAGAGUGUACGGCAACAUUGGGACUGAGACACGGCCCAGACUCCUACGGGAGGCAGCAGUGGGGAAUUUUGCACAAUGGGGGAAACCCUGAUGCAGCGACGCCGCGAGAUUUAGAAGGCCUUCGGGUUGUAAAAAUCUUUUGUAUAGGAAGAAAAUGACAGUACUAUACGAAUAAGGUCCGGCUAAUUACGUG
Molecule: ribosomal RNA, 478 nt
Filed under: uncultured bacterium
Lineage: Bacteria
Description: partial 16S ribosomal RNA
Rfam family: Bacterial small subunit ribosomal RNA
Source: RNAcentral